GGUUACUAAAAAUAACAAUUUAAAACCUAAAGAACUUGGCGGUGUCUUAUCAUACCAGGGGAACCUGUUCCUUAAUUCGAUAAUCCACGAAACCACUACCACUAAUUGAAUAAUCAGCUUGUAUACUGCCGUCAUCAGCAUACCUUAAAAAGAUAUAGUAUGCAAUAAUAACAAAAAUUAAUUAUGUCAGGUCAUAGUACAGCCUAUUUAGUGGAGGAAAUGGGUUACAAUCAUUUAUCUAGAUACCAAAAAUAAAACUAAAGUUUUAUCAAAAGGUGGACUUGGCAGUAAUGAUAGUAUAGAAUACAGUCAUGAAUAAAGAUCUAAGACAUGCACACAUCGCCCGUCACUC
RNAcentral lists this ribosomal RNA (352 nucleotides) under Stylaria lacustris. Its description in RNAcentral is "partial 12S ribosomal RNA". Lineage: Eukaryota; Metazoa; Annelida; Clitellata; Tubificida; Naididae. The record is from RNAcentral.